RNAcentral lists this ribosomal RNA (369 nucleotides) under Triticum aestivum (bread wheat). RNAcentral describes it as "partial small subunit ribosomal RNA". The record is from RNAcentral. Lineage: Eukaryota; Viridiplantae; Streptophyta; Magnoliopsida; Poales; Poaceae.
AUGGCCGUUGGAGCAGCAUCGUCGCAACAACCAUCACAACAUCACCGGAGCAGCCGCAUUACCAUCACAGUUGUAAGCAUGCCAUCGCAGCAACUGUCACAGCAUCACCGGAGAAGCCAGGCAACCGUCCACUGCCGAGCAGCCGACCUCCAUCGCGCUCGCAGCAAUCGACACUUCUGCAGCCCACUCGGCGCCAUCACAGUAGUGUCACCGCUGCCUAGUCGUCACAACAUCGCCGGAGAAGAUGCACCUCCGGUGCAACAUCACCAGAGAAGCCACACCGCUGUUGCUGCAUCGCCGAGCAGUCGGGCCACCGUCAUGCUUGUAGGAGCCGGCUCGCUGCCAUCGCAGCAGCAUCGUCGCAGCUAG